Non-coding RNA from Lates calcarifer (barramundi perch), 668 nucleotides. The record is from the annotation of a RefSeq genome assembly. Lineage: Eukaryota; Metazoa; Chordata; Actinopteri; Centropomidae.
GGAGUCAAUGCAAAACUCAGAUGUCUUCCACCUCUACUUAUCUGACUGCAGAGAGGAUGACAGAGAACAGUGGACACACAGUUUAACAUGAUGGACUAUAGGACAGGACUGCUGCUUUUAACUCUCUGCUGGGCAGGUGUUGAUGGUCAGACUCUGACCCAGUCUGAACCAGUGGUUAAAAGACCUGGAGAAUCCCACAGACUGACCUGUACAGUCUCUGGAUUCACACUCGGCGACUACUGGAUGGUCUGGAUCAGACAGGCUCCUGGAAAAGGACUGGAGUGGAUCACUACUGAUGCUGGUGAUAGCCGCAAAUACUACUCUCAGUCAGUCCAAGGCCAGUUCACUGUCUCCAGAGACAACAGCAGACAGCAGCUGUAUCUGCAGAUGAACAGUCUGAAUACUGAAGACACUGCUUUUUAUUAUUGUGCCACAUACACAGUAACACAAACCAUCAGUCAACCUGAACAAAAACCCCUCAUGAAGCCACCAGAGGAGGAGCCCUCAGACCACUAAUGAUUUCACACCAGUUCACUUACAGUAAAGAGGGAAACAAUCUUUAGAUUUGAUGAAUGUUAAUUCAACAGUAACUGUUUCCAUUGGUUUCAUCAGAUACUUUGAUAUUAAGCAUUACUGUUUGUAUUCACAAGAUGAAAACUGAAUAGCUA